AACGAACGCUGGCGGCGUGGAUAAGACAUGCAAGUCGAACGAUUAUCAUCGGGUAGCAAUAUUCGGUGGUGAGAGUGGCGCAAGGGUGCGUAACACGUGGGUAAUUUGCCGUGAAGUCUGGAAUAACUUGCUGAAAGGCGAGCUAAUACCGGAUGUGAUUGCCGGAGGGCAUCCUCUGGCACUUAAAGUCGGGGACCGCAAGGCCUGACGCUUCUCGAUAAGCCCGCGGCCUAUCAGCUAGUUGGUGAGGUAACGGCUUACCAAGGCUAAGACGGGUAGCUGGUCCGAGAGGACGACCAGCCACACUGGAACUGAGACACGGUCCAGACACCUACGGGUGGCAGCAGUCGAGAAUUUUUCUCAAUGGGGGAAACCCUGAAGGAGCGACGCCGCGUGGGGGAUGAAUGGCUUCGGCCCGUAAACCCCUGUCAUUUGCGAUCAAACCUUACGACCUAAUACGUCGUAAGCUGAUAGUAGCGGAAGAGGAAGGGACGGCUAACUCUGUGC
Molecule: ribosomal RNA, 507 nt
Filed under: uncultured bacterium
Lineage: Bacteria
Description: bacterial SSU rRNA
Rfam family: Bacterial small subunit ribosomal RNA
Source: RNAcentral